This 468-nucleotide ribosomal RNA is filed under the name uncultured bacterium. RNAcentral describes it as "partial 16S ribosomal RNA". It matches the Rfam family "Bacterial small subunit ribosomal RNA", at positions 28 to 507 of the family's 1533-position model. The record is from RNAcentral.
GACGAACGCUGGCGGCGUGCUUAACACAUGCAAGUCGAACGGAAAGGCCCUGCUUUUGUGGGGUGCUCGAGUGGCGAACGGGUGCGUAACACGUGAGUAACCUGCCCUUGACUUUGGGAUAACUUCAGGAAACUGAGGCUAAUACCGGAUCGGAUCUCCUGCUGCAUGGUGGGGGUUGGAAAGUUUCGGCGGUUGGGGAUGGACUCGCGGCUUAUCAGCUUGUUGGUGGGGUAGUGGCUUACCAAGGCAUUGACGGGUAGCCGGCCUGAGAGGGUGACCGGCCACAUUGGGACUGAGAUACGGCCCAGACUCCUACGGGAGGCAGCAGUGGGGAAUAUUGCACAAUGGGCGGAAGCCUGAUGCAGCAGCGCCGCGUGCGGGAUGACGGCCUGCGGGUUGUAAACCGCUUUCGCCUGUGACGAAGCGUGAGUGACGGUAAUGGGUAAAGAAGCACCGGCUAACUACGUG